Long non-coding RNA from Ictalurus punctatus (channel catfish), 1014 nucleotides. The record is from Ensembl. Lineage: Eukaryota; Metazoa; Chordata; Actinopteri; Siluriformes; Ictaluridae.
GGGUGUGUUACUGUAUUACGUGUCUGGCCUUGUCUGGUCAGCUGGAGCUGUGUGUGUGUGAAAGUGAGAGUGUGUGUGCAGGCGAAGUCGGUGGUCAGCACUUCGGCUGAACUGAGACAAAGGCCUUGUUGUGUGACUGUCAGCCUCUCAGCAACUGGUGCAUCUGUCGUGAGGGGACAGGUGGCGGGAUUUAAAUGCCUGUGCAGUUGACAAGUUGCGAUUCCACAAUUAUUUCAAUUCGUCCCACAUUUCAAACAGUAUAGCUUGUUUUCUAAAGCUCAGAAAAACUCAUUAUUGUUUGUGUCAAAAUUUCUCAUUGUUGGUUAUUUUUUUGUACUUAUCUCUCUUUUUUGUGUUGUGCUUUUGGGGUGUAAAGUUAUACGAUGAAUCAAAGCUUUUGAGAUUGGGCUAGCAGCUGUUGUCUUUGCUCAAACUUCAGACCACAAGCAAGUGUGUAAAGGGAUACUUUGGUCCUUCCCUGAAGAAAAACACAUUGCGUGCUGCAUGUUGUCGAGCCAGUGGAGAUGUUUGACCAACAGCCCAUAAAACCAACAGUGUUAAUGCCUUCACAAUGCCAACACAUUCUCAGCAUUAAUCUUCAUAUCCAAAUAACUAACAAAUGUUGAGCAAUAAAUUUAAUUGUUGAAUUCAAAAUAUGCAAAAUACAUCAAAUUCCCUCCAGAAACAAAAGGUUCAAGAAAAAUAUUUGAAUGGUUCUUUAGAUUGCCUUAUCGGCAGAAGUGCUUCCAGGAACGUGGAUGCAAAGAUUCUUGAAACAUGAAUGUUCCUUAAAGAAGCCUCAAAGAUUUCAAUCUUCAUGAGGACAGAUGAACAGAUAUCACAGGAACACGUCUACCGCUCUCACUUCUUCAUAUGGGAUGUACCAACGGCCCGCCAUGUUUACCUUGACCAGAAAUCACAUUGGUGAUGAGGUACAUGACAGUCUGGUGAUUUGUGUCUAACCAAUAAGGAUUAAAACUAUUGUCUGAUAUAUGUAUAUACUUUCGCCUUUUU